GACGAACGCUGGCGGCGUGCCUAAUACAUGCAAGUAGAACGCUGAAGGAGGAGCUUGCUUCUCUGGAUGAGUUGCGAACGGGUGAGUAACGCGUAGGUAACCUGCCUGGUAGCGGGGGGUAACUAUUGGAAACGAUAGCUAAUACCGCAUAAGAGUAGAUGUCGCAUGACAUUUGCUUAAAAGGUGGAAUUGCAUCACUACCAGAUGGACCUGCGUUGUAUUAGCUAGUUGGUGAGGUAACGGCUCACCAAGGCAACGAUACAUAGCCGACCUGAGAGGGUGAUCGGCCACACUGGGACUGAGACACGGCCCAGACUCCUACGGGAGGCAGCAGUAGGGAAUCUUCGGCAAGAGACGGAAGUCUGACCGAGCAACGCCGCGUGAGUGAAGAAGGUUUUCGGAUCGUAAAGCUCUGUUGUAAGAGAAGAACGAGUGUGAGAGUGGAAAGUUCACACUGUGACGGUAUCUUACCAGAAAGGGACGGCUAACUACGUG
RNAcentral lists this ribosomal RNA (495 nucleotides) under uncultured bacterium. RNAcentral's name for it is "partial 16S ribosomal RNA". It matches the Rfam family "Bacterial small subunit ribosomal RNA", at positions 28 to 507 of the family's 1533-position model. The record is from RNAcentral.